UACGGAGGGUGCGAGCGUUGUCCGGAAUCACUGGGCGUAAAGGGCGCGUAGGCGGCGCGGAUAGUCGGCGGUGAAAGCCCGGAGCUCAACUCCGGGUCGGCCGUCGAUACUUCCGGGCUUGAGCACUGUAGAGGCAGAUGGAAUUCCGGGUGUAGCGGUGGAAUGCGUAGAGAUCCGGAAGAACACCGGUGGCGAAGGCGGUCUGCUGGGCAGUUGCUGACGCUGAUGCGCGACAGCGUGGGGAGCAAACGAGGAUUAGA
This 260-nucleotide ribosomal RNA is filed under the name uncultured bacterium. RNAcentral describes it as "partial 16S ribosomal RNA". It matches the Rfam family "Bacterial small subunit ribosomal RNA", at positions 524 to 782 of the family's 1533-position model. The record is from RNAcentral.